Molecule: ribosomal RNA, 1340 nt
Filed under: uncultured bacterium
Lineage: Bacteria
Description: partial 16S ribosomal RNA
Rfam family: Bacterial small subunit ribosomal RNA
Source: RNAcentral
GAGUUUGAUCCUGGCUCAGAGCGAACGCUGGCGGCAGGCUUAACACAUGCAAGUCGAGCGGGCGUGGCAAUACGUCAGCGGCAGACGGGUGAGUAACGCGUGGGAACAUACCUUUUGGUCCGGAACAACACAGGGAAACUUGUGCUAAUACCGGAUAAGCCCUUACGGGGAAAGAUUUAUCGCCGAAAGAUUGGCCCGCGUCUGAUUAGCUAGUUGGUAAGGUAAAGGCUUACCAAGGCUAUGACGGUUAGGGGCCCCGAGAGGGGAGACCCCCACACUGGAACUGCGACACGGUCCAGACUCCUACGGGAGGCAGCAGUUUGGAAUUUUGGACAAUGGGCGAAAGCCUGAUCCAACGACGCCGCGUGGACGAUGAAGGCCUUCGGGUCGUAAAGUCCUUUUGCUUGGGAAGAAUUUUUGACUGUACCAAGCGAAUAAGAGGUUGCUAACUCUGUGCCAGCAGCAGCGGUAAUACAGAGACCUCAAGCGUUAUCCGGAAUCAUUGGGCGUAAAGCGUACCGAUCGGUGGUUUAGAAAGUCAGAGGUGAAAUCUCAAGGCUCAACUUUGAGACUGUCCUUUGAAACUUCUAAGCUAGAGGGGCAAAGAGGAAGCUGGAAUGAACGGUGUAGGGGUAAUAUCCGGUGAUAUCGUUCAGAACACCAAUAGCGAAGGCAGGCUUCUGGGUGCCACCUGACACUGCUAGGACGAAAGCGUGGGGAGCGAAUGGGAUUAGAUACCCCAGUAGUCCACGCUGUAAACGAUGCACAUUAGGUGCUAGGGAGUAUCGACCCUCCUUAGUGCCACAGCUAACGCGUUAAAUGUGCCGCCUGGGGAGUACGGCCGCAAGGCUAAAACUCAAAGGAAUUGACGGGGACCCGCACAAGCGGUGGAUGAUGUGGAUUAAUUCGAUGCAACGCGAACAACCUUACCUACCCUUGACAUGUCCGAGAGCCUGCUGAAAGGUGGGUGUGCCUGAAAGGGAAUCGGAACACAGGUGCUGCAUGGCUGUCGUCAGCUCGUGUCGUGAGAUGUUGGGUUAAGUCCCGCAACGAGCGCAGCCCUUGUCCCUAGUUGCUACGCAAGGGCACUCUAGGGAGACUGCCGGUGACAAACCGGAGGAAGGUGGGGAUGACGUCAAGUCCUCAUGGCCCUUAUGGGUAGGGCUUCACACGUCAUACAAUGGCCGGUACAGAGGGUUGCCAACCCGCGAGGGGGAGCCAAUCCCAGAAAGCCGGUCGUAGUCCGGAUUGCAGUCUGCAACUCGACUGCAUGAAGUCGGAAUCGCUAGUAAUCGCGGAUCAGCAUGUCGCGGUGAUACGUUCCCGGGUCUUGCACACAC